RNAcentral lists this microRNA precursor (56 nucleotides) under Ornithorhynchus anatinus (platypus). RNAcentral's name for it is "Oan-Mir-130-P1a_pre stem-loop". Lineage: Eukaryota; Metazoa; Chordata; Mammalia; Monotremata; Ornithorhynchidae. The record is from RNAcentral.
GCCCUUUUGCCGUUGUGCUACUGAGCGUGAGGAGCAGUGCAAUGGUAAAAGGGCAU